Molecule: ribosomal RNA, 364 nt
Filed under: Cortinarius sp. 53-614
Lineage: Eukaryota; Fungi; Basidiomycota; Agaricomycetes; Agaricales; Cortinariaceae
Description: eukaryotic LSU rRNA
Rfam family: 5.8S ribosomal RNA (bases 1-105)
Source: RNAcentral
GAAAUGCGAUAAGUAAUGUGAAUUGCAGAAUUCAGUGAAUCAUCGAAUCUUUGAACGCACCUUGCGCUCCUUGGUAUUCCGAGGAGCAUGCCUGUUUGAGUGUCAUUAAAUUCUCAACCCUUAUCAACUUUGUGCUGAUAAUGGGCUUGGAUAUGGGGGCUUUUUUGCUGGCUUCUUCACAGAUGGUCAGCUCCCCUGAAAUGCAUUAGCCGGUGCCCCGCGUGGACUGUCUAUUGGUGUGAUAAUUAUCUACGCUGUGGACAUCUACAAUCAUAUGGGUUUGUGCUGCUUCUAACUGUCUGUUCAUUCAGACAAUAUAUGACCAUUUGACCUCAAAUCAGGUAGGACUACCCGCUGAACUUAA